UGGGGGAUAGCCCGGCGAAAGCCGGAUUAAUACCGCAUACGCCCUAAGGGGGAAAGUGGGGGACCGCAAGGCCUCACGUUAUUGGAGCGGCCGAUGGCUGAUUAGCUAGUUGGUGGGGUAAAGGCCUACCAAGGCGACGAUCAGUAGCUGGUCUGAGAGGACGAUCAGCCACACUGGGACUGAGACACGGCCCAGACUCCUACGGGAGGCAGCAGUGGGGAAUUUUGGACAAUGGGCGAAAGCCUGAUCCAGCAAUGCCGCGUGUGCGAAGAAGGCCUUCGGGUUGUAAAGCACUUUUGUUCGGGAAGAAAACGUUCGUGUUAAUACCAUGGGCGGAUGACGGUACCGGAAGAAUAAGCACCGGCUAACUACGUGCCAGCAGCCGCGGUAAUACGUAGGGUGCGAGCGUUAAUCGGAAUUACUGGGCGUAAAGCGUGCGCAGGCGGCUAUGUAAGACAGGUGUGAAAUCCCCGAGCUUAACUUGGGAAUUGCAUUUGUGACUGCAUGGCUAGAGUGUGUCAGAGGGAGGUGGAAUUCCACGUGUAGCAGUGAAAU
Molecule: ribosomal RNA, 555 nt
Filed under: Limnobacter sp. KP2-29
Lineage: Bacteria; Pseudomonadati; Pseudomonadota; Betaproteobacteria; Burkholderiales; Burkholderiaceae
Description: bacterial SSU rRNA
Rfam family: Bacterial small subunit ribosomal RNA
Source: RNAcentral